CGAGCCGGCCGGGCGGCCGCGUCAGGGCCUUGUGGCCCUGCCGAGGAAGGUCCGGGCUCCACAGGGCAGGGUGGUCGGUAACGCCGACCCGGGGUGACCCGCGGGACAGUGCCACAGAGAGCAGACCGCCCCCCUUCCCGGGGGGUAAGGGUGAAAGGGUGGUGUAAGAGACCACCAGCGCCCACGGUGACGUGGGCGGCUCGGUAAACCCCACCCGGAGCAAGGUCAAGAAGGGACGCUCCCUGGAGCGUCCCGCGCGCGACGUUCGAGGGCUGCCCGCCCGAGCCGCGCGGGUAGACCGCUUGAGGCCGCCGGCAACGGCGGUCCUAGAUGGAUGGCCGCCGAUCAGCCCACAGGCUGAUCACAGAACCCGGCCUACAGGCCGACUCGUCCA
Molecule: RNase P RNA, 394 nt
Filed under: Microbispora oryzae
Lineage: Bacteria; Bacillati; Actinomycetota; Actinomycetes; Streptosporangiales; Streptosporangiaceae
Description: Bacterial RNase P class A
Rfam family: Bacterial RNase P class A
About the family: Ribonuclease P (RNase P) is a ubiquitous endoribonuclease, found in archaea, bacteria and eukarya as well as chloroplasts and mitochondria. Its best characterised activity is the generation of mature 5'-ends of tRNAs by cleaving the 5'-leader elements of precursor-tRNAs.
Source: Rfam by way of RNAcentral